ACUGUGUAGUGUGGUUUUCCAAAGAGGAAACAAAUUAACUGAACCGCUACAAAAAAACUUUUCUCUGCAAAAACAUACAUGUUUCUACCUGACUAGUUUCAAUUAAUUUUCUUUAGUGGGAAUUCCAUACAUUAUUUUGAUAUGUUUUAUGAAAAUUAAUUUGUAUUCAGGACCUGUGUUAGUGGUCAUGGAGAUAUUUCCUACCUCUGAGACACUUGGAUGAAUCCUUCAAAAUGCCCUGAGCCCUCCUCAAGUUCCCAAGAAAUGGUGAGAGCAACAAUUAUAGGCAAGUAGGUGAUCUUAAGGAAACAGCAGGCUUCCAGGUAGCACAGUGCAGAGAUCCUCCAAUCUAGCUGGGGUUUUGUCCUUCAAGCCAACUCUAUGAGUAUCUAAAA
Non-coding RNA from Taeniopygia guttata (zebra finch), 395 nucleotides. The record is from RefSeq and is a predicted model, not a curated record. Lineage: Eukaryota; Metazoa; Chordata; Aves; Passeriformes; Estrildidae.